RNAcentral lists this ribosomal RNA (207 nucleotides) under uncultured bacterium. Its description in RNAcentral is "partial 16S ribosomal RNA". It matches the Rfam family "Bacterial small subunit ribosomal RNA", at positions 568 to 774 of the family's 1533-position model. The record is from RNAcentral.
CGCGUAGGCGGUACAACAAGUUGGGCGUGAAAGCCCUGGGCUUAACCCGGGAACUGCGCUCAAAACUGUUGAACUUGAGUGUGGAAGAGGUUGGUGGAAUUCCCAGUGUAGAGGUGAAAUUCGUAGAUAUUGGGAAGAACACCCGUGGCGAAGGCGGCCAACUGGUCCACAACUGACGCUGAGGCGCGAAAGCGUGGGGAGCAAACA